RNAcentral lists this transfer RNA (80 nucleotides) under Pseudodesulfovibrio portus. RNAcentral describes it as "tRNA-Gly". Lineage: Bacteria; Pseudomonadati; Thermodesulfobacteriota; Desulfovibrionia; Desulfovibrionales; Desulfovibrionaceae. The record is from RNAcentral.
GGGCGGCGUGGUCGAGGUCCGGGCCACCUCCGUGCCUGCCGGGCUCGGCGAACCGGUCUUCGACAAGCUGGACGCCCGCC